GGUUGAUCCUGCCAGUAGUCAUAUGCUUGUCUCAAAGACUAAGCCAUGCAUGUCUAAGUAUAAACUAUUUAUACGGUGAAACUGCGAAUGGCUCAUUAAAACAGUUAUAGUUUAUUUGAUAGUACCUUACUACUUGGAUAACCGUAGUAAUUCUAGAGCUAAUACAUGCGCAAAAACCCGACUUUUCGGAAGGGUUGUAUUUAUUAGAUAAAAAACCAAUCCACUUCGGUGGUUUGUGGUGAUUCAUAAUAACUGAUCGAAUCGCAGAGCCUCACGGCGGCGAUGAAUCAUU
Molecule: ribosomal RNA, 292 nt
Filed under: uncultured eukaryote
Lineage: Eukaryota
Description: partial 18S ribosomal RNA
Rfam family: Eukaryotic small subunit ribosomal RNA
Source: RNAcentral